GACGAACGCUGGCGGCGUGCCUAAUACAUGCAAGUUGAGCGAUGAAGCUUGGUGCUUGCACCAAUUUGAAGAGCAGCGAACGGGUGAGUAACGCGUGGGGAAUCUGCCUUUGAGCGGGGGACAACAUUUGGAAACGAAUGCUAAUACCGCAUAACAACUUUAAACAUAAGUUUUAAGUUUGAAAGAUGCAAUUGCAUCACUCAAAGAUGAUCCCGCGUUGUAUUAGCUAGUUGGUGAGGUAAAGGCUCACCAAGGCGAUGAUACAUAGCCGACCUGAGAGGGUGAUCGGCCACAUUGGGACCUGGACAAGGCCCAAACUCCUACGGGAGGCAGCAGUAGGGAAUCUUCGGCAAUGGACGAAAGUCUGACCGAGCAACGCCGCGUGAGUGAAGAAGGUUUUCGGAUCGGAAAACUCUGUUGGUAGAGAAGAACGUUGGUGAGAGUGGAAAGCUCAUCAAGUGACGGUAACUACCCAGAAAGGGACGGCUAACUACGUG
RNAcentral lists this ribosomal RNA (497 nucleotides) under uncultured bacterium. RNAcentral's name for it is "partial 16S ribosomal RNA". It matches the Rfam family "Bacterial small subunit ribosomal RNA", at positions 28 to 507 of the family's 1533-position model. The record is from RNAcentral.